UGAUCGAAGCCCCGGUAAACGGCGGCCGUAACAAUAACGGUCCUAAGGUAGCGAAAUUCCUUGUCGGGUAAGUUCCGACCUGCACGAAUGGCGUAAUGAUGGCCAGGCUGUCUCCACCCGAGACUCAGUGAAAUUGAACUCGCUGUGAAGAUGCAGUGUACCCGCGGCAAGACGGAAAGACCCCGUGAACCUUUACUAUAGCUUUGCACUGGACUUUGAAUUUGCUUGUGUAGGAUAGGUGGGAGGCUUUGAAACCGAGACGCUAGUUUCGGUGGAGCCAAUCUUGAAAUACCACCCUGGUAAUAUUGAGGUUCUAACUCUGUCCCGUUAUCCGGGACGAGGACCAUGUCUGGUGGGUAGU
This 361-nucleotide ribosomal RNA is filed under the name Prorocentrum minimum. Its description in RNAcentral is "partial Bacterial large subunit ribosomal RNA". It matches the Rfam family "Bacterial large subunit ribosomal RNA", at positions 1909 to 2269 of the family's 2925-position model. Lineage: Eukaryota; Dinophyceae; Prorocentrales; Prorocentraceae. The record is from RNAcentral.